Molecule: long non-coding RNA, 1307 nt
Organism: Oreochromis aureus
Lineage: Eukaryota; Metazoa; Chordata; Actinopteri; Cichliformes; Cichlidae
Exons: 2
Source: RefSeq, a predicted model, not a curated record
UUUAAAAAUGAAAGUGAUUUUAUUUUGAAAUUCACACAUCAGCUUCAUUAAUGGAUCCCAGUUCAGCAGCGGAGGCAUAAAAUGAGUCAACUCACAGAACAUCAGCCCAGCUGGGUGCAUCAUUUGGAUAACGCUCCUAACUAAUCCUCCAAACGAUUCAGCGCCUUAUAAUCCCAAUAUUAUUACAAUGUAAUCAAAGGAUGGAAAGCACUCAAUUUAUUAAACCCUCCUGGGUGAGACAAAUGAGUCUGCACACACACACACACACACACACAAGCAGAGACAACAAGAGCCACAUUUCAUGUAGAAAGUGUAGUUUUAUUAUUUCAAACUUCUCCUUAACACCCGAGGUUUUCACCUCAUACCUGUCUCCCUCCUUCCCUUUUCCUUUCUCCAGUUACAUCUACAAAAACUACUCAGAGCACAUCACUGUGUAUGGUACAUUUUCCUCCUCUGAUGCCGUGCUCUGGUGGGGAAAUCAGCGAAUGAGCUGCAGGAGUGGACGUAGCUCGCGAGAUGACGAUGGAGGGGAAUAUUAGCUGCAGAUGGGCUUAAAAGAAGGCAGCGUGAGGAUGUAAGCAAAACGAGAGGACGAGAGAAACGGAUACGAAGAAAAAAAGUCUGGACGUGCAACCCUCUCCUCCCACCGAGUCCCACCCACCCACCCCCCACCCUUUUUGUUUGUUUGUUUUUUUCGCUAAAUGGAACCAACAAUAACAAUCAUUGGCUGGUUAUUUACAUGCACAGUGUCCCCCCCUGUUACCACCCCAUAGACACACUAAUGCCUGAUCCCAAAGCCAUCUGCUGAUCAACAGUGUCACAUGUUACAAUAUGUUGAAUAGAUUUUCCUGAAAAUCACUUUUACUUGAUUUCAGAAGCAAGCCAAACCUAUAAUUUAAAAAAGACAAGGCUGGUGAUAUUCCAUGGUAAAACAAAAACAGCAACGAAAUUAGCCUUUUGAUAAAUAUUGUCCAUGUUGUGAAAGCGCUCUUGCACAAAACUAUUGAAAACCCCAUCAGUCAGCCAUGCCGUUGCACCGAAUUGCACCCCUUUGUCACAACAAAGCUGGGCACUGUAGUUUAUUUUAAACACGCACCUCUCCCUCACUGUAAAUACUACCUGGACAUAAAAAUAGUUUCCACAAACGUGCUCUUUAUUGCUAAAGAAACUACAGCGUGCAGCUGUUGUAGGAAAGUACAGUAAAACAAAUCAGUGCUGGGUGCUACAGGGAAGCUACUGAAAGAUGGAUGUUUUUUGGUCUUUUCAUGUUUUGCCUUGUAUUUACCGUAAUAAACAACUGAAAUAUU